UACGAAGGGGGCUAGCGUUGCUCGGAAUCACUGGGCGUAAAGGGUGCGUAGGCGGGUUUUUAAGUCAGAGGUGAAAUCCUGGAGCUCAACUCCAGAACUGCCUUUGAUACUGAGAAUCUUGAGUACGGGAGAGGUGAGUGGAACUGCGAGUGUAGAGGUGAAAUUCGUAGAUAUUCGCAAGAACACCAGUGGCGAAGGCGGCUCACUGGCCCGGUACUGACGCUGAGGUGCGAAAGCGUGGGGAGCAAACAGG
This 253-nucleotide ribosomal RNA is filed under the name uncultured bacterium. RNAcentral's name for it is "partial 16S ribosomal RNA". It matches the Rfam family "Bacterial small subunit ribosomal RNA", at positions 524 to 776 of the family's 1533-position model. The record is from RNAcentral.